RNAcentral lists this ribosomal RNA (253 nucleotides) under uncultured microorganism. Its description in RNAcentral is "partial 16S ribosomal RNA". It matches the Rfam family "Bacterial small subunit ribosomal RNA", at positions 524 to 776 of the family's 1533-position model. The record is from RNAcentral.
UACGUAGGGUGCGAGCGUUAAUCGGAUUUACUGGGCGUAAAGCGCGCGUAGGCGGUGCGGUAAGUCAGGGGUUAAAGCCCGGAGCUCAACUCCGGAAAAGCCUAUGAUACUGUCUGGCUUGAGGGCCGGAGAGGCUGGCGGAAUUCCCGGUGUAGGGGUGAAAUCCGUAGAUAUCGGGAGGAACACCAGUAGCGAAGGCGGCCAUCUGGCUGAUAACUGACGCUGAGGUGCGAGAGCGUGGGGAGCAAACAGG